CCUACGGGCGGCAGCAGUAGGGAAUAUUGCUCAAUGGGGGAAACCCUGAAGCAGCAACGCCGCGUGGAGGAUGAAGGUUUUCGGAUUGUAAACUCCUUUUGUUAGAGAAGAUAAUGACGGUAUCUAACGAAUAAGCACCGGCUAACUCCGUGCCAGCAGCCGCGGUAAUACGGAGGGUGCAAGCGUUACUCGGAAUCACUGGGCGGAAAGAGCGCGUAGGCGGGAUAGCAAGUCAGAUGUGAAAUCCUAUGGCUUAACCAUAGAACUGCAUUUUAAACUGUUAUUCUAGAGUAUGGGAGAGGUAGGUGGAAUUCUUGGUGGAGGGGUAAAAUCCGUAGAGAUCAAGAGGAAUACUCAUUGCGAAGGCGACCUGCUAGAACAUAACUGACGCUGAUGCGCGAAAGCGUGGGGAGCAAACAGGAUUAGAUACCCCGGUAGUC
RNAcentral lists this ribosomal RNA (440 nucleotides) under uncultured bacterium. Its description in RNAcentral is "partial 16S ribosomal RNA". It matches the Rfam family "Bacterial small subunit ribosomal RNA", at positions 338 to 795 of the family's 1533-position model. The record is from RNAcentral.